Molecule: long non-coding RNA, 3187 nt
Organism: Neofelis nebulosa (Clouded leopard)
Lineage: Eukaryota; Metazoa; Chordata; Mammalia; Carnivora; Felidae
Exons: 4
Source: RefSeq, a predicted model, not a curated record
GAACCAGCAAGUGAGAGAGGUUUUGAUCUUGAAGUUUCAGCCCAAAGAGGAAUUUGCCUCUCCUUCCAAUCCCCUCCGCCCCCAUCCAAUUUUUGUGAAGCAAACAGUUCUCUCAGAGGAGAAGUCCCACUCUUCUCUUCCCUCUUCUUCCCCGAACUUAGUUCUUGGCCCUUCUGGGAGGCAGGGCAAGCUCGGUGGCGCCCAGACCUCCCGCUUCUGGGUGCUGAAGACAACCACCACCGAUAACAUCAGUUGGAGCCCAGCUCUGCUUAAGCAGCCAAAGCGCGCUCCAACUUCGAUCUUACCGGAAAAUGGCACGAAUUCCUACACGGCUUUGGAGGCAGCGGAGCCACUAGGAGUGGGAACCUGCCAGCCCCCAUCCCACCUUUGCACGGAGGACAUGAGCAGACAGGCCCAGGAGGCGGCUAGAUCGCCAAAGGCCCACACGCCUGGCCCUCUGUGCUCACGAACGGAAACAACCUAGAGUCCUGGACCAGAACUCAGAGUCAGUGCAGGGUCGCUGGCAGCCACCAGCCGCAGCCCGAGUCUGCGCGGGCCAGGCCAGCAUUUCCUGUUGCCUAGGCGCUGAGCACGGGCUACCUGCUCCCCAGCGGGUGCCAUCCAGAGGUGCGGCAGCCCAGCCGCGGGCCUGCCAGCCGGGGUGGGCUCGGUCUCCCAGAAAAGCCCUGCAGGAACCCCCAAUCUCCCUCCCUCCCGGGGGCCCGUGCCGCCCCCUUCUCCCCCAGCCCCCCCUUCCCCCCCUCCCCCCAGGGGCCGAGUACCUGAGGGGGCGGGCGCCCUGCAGUCUCGCUUCCUGCCAUGUCCGGGCGAGGACGGCCCGGGUCCCCGGCACCCCCGGGCUCCCGGCGCACAGCCUCCCGAGGCGCAGCCCCCAGGGGUAGAUGGCCAUGGCUCUCUGCGCCCGCGUCCCGGCCCCAGGAAACUUUUAAAGUGGAAGCCAGAAGUCAGCUUCAGAACGGACACCAGUUGGUACCCCCUUCUCCCACGGGCAGCCUCCCACCCUGGGCCUCUGCCUCCACUCCCCCCCGCCCCGGCUCGCAGUGCACCGUGUAAGGUGGCAUCAGGGAUUGAAACCUGGGCUUCUCACCGCCAUCUGCCAACCCCAGCUCGGGCCCAGGGCCCCAUUCCGUUCCCUGUCCGAGGCGUGAAUGGAAAGCAGCAGUGGACAGAGGUUCAGCCCACCGCACCUGUUCCAUCUCUGGUCCUGGCUGGGAAAGGUGGCACCGGGCACCUGAGUGGCACAAGUGCCAGGUCCACACUGUCUCGACCCUUUCUCCAGAGGAGGAGGACAGCAAUGGGGGAAAUGUCCUGGCAGGGUGACCUCCCCGCUCCUGCCCCAGAGGAAGCAGUGAAAAUCUGGGCCAAGCAGAAAGGCUUUCCUGACUUCCCGGACACGAGUGCCAUGGAAUAACAGUCACCGAUUUCAGGAUAGCUUCCUCAAGCCAUACUCUUAAGAGACAUUAUCUCCCUUCACAAUCACCCCGCAAGGAACAGACAUGCCUUGGAAUAUGUCUCUGGUGUUAUGGAUGAAGAAACUGAAAGACGCCUGGCUGGCUCAGUUACUAACGCACAUGACUCUUGAUCUUGGGGUUGUAAGUUCGAGCCCCACACUGGAAGCAGAGAUUGCUUACAAAUAAAAUCUUUGCAAAAAUAGAAGAAAGAAAAAGAAACCGAGCCCCAGGGAGGUUCCGCUACUUGCCCAAGGUCAAGAUGAGCACAGUGAGUGCAGGCCAAGGCUCAGCCUGUACUCACUUGGUGGCUUUGGACAAGUCACAGGGCUUCUCCGGGCCUCAAGUCGUUAUGUUUAAAAUUGAGAUAAUAGGGGCACCUGGGUGGCUCAGUCAGUUAAACGUCUGACUCUUGAUUUCGGCUCAGGUCAUGAUCCCAGGGUGGUGAGGUUAAGCUCUGCGUUGAGCCCCAAGUUGGGCUCCCAGUUGAGUCCCGCAUCCGGCUCUGGCUCCACGCUGACAGCGCACAGCCUGCUUGGGAUUCUCUCUCUCUCCCUCUCUCUCUGGCCUUCCCCUGCUUGCACUCUUGUGCAUGCGCUCUCUUUCAACAUAAUAUAAUAAAAUGGGGACGGGGCACUUGAGUGGCUUAGUCGGUUAAGUGUCCGACUUCAGCUCAGUGAUUCAUGAGUGAUUCAAAAAACCUGGAGAUAACACCAGCCUCAUGCAGAGGGUUGGGGUAAGGAUUGGGUGUGGUGGCAGAGAACUAGCACUUGACCCUUUUUCAGUGAUUGUUACUUUCUUUCUCUAUCCUCUCCUUCUUCCUGUUGUCUACACUCUGAGACUUUCCUCUGUGUUCAGUGUUGCAAACCUUUUUUUAGCAGGAGGAAUUGUUUUUCAUCUCUGCAAAGCCUUGAAAGCUGUGGUAGGCACUGGUUCUGUAAAAGGGGAGAACGGUUGGGAGGAAAGAAAAUGCUAGUGCCUAAUGAGGGAACCCCUGAGUCUGUUGACCAGAAUUCUUGGGUCUCUUUGAGGGAGUGGUGAGCAGGGCAUAUUGCCAUCCAGUCCCUGCAACCAACUCAGUUCCUCACGGCUUCCCAAGGGGCUUUCUGCCCGAGCCCAGCAUGCCUGCUGAGUGCUGCACCUGACUUGGAUGGUUUAUGGUGCCUUGGUUUUGCUCAGGCCCCUGGCGACCCUGAGAAAGCCCUUAGUCCGCCCCCUUUGCCAAAAUCCUUCCCUUUGUGCUUCAAAAAUGGGCUCAAAAUGUAAACGUCACUGGGGCGCCUGGGUGGCUCAGACGGCUGAGCAUCCGACUCUUGAUUUCGGCUCAGGUCAUGAUCUUGCAGUUCGUGAGUUCAAGCCCCACGUGGGGGCUCUGUGCCGACAGCUCGGAGCCUGGAGCCUGCUUCGGAUUCUGUGUCUCCUUCUCUCUCUGCCCCUCUGUCUUGUGCUCUGUCUCUCUGUCUCUGUCUCUCUCUCAAAAAAUAAACAUAAAAAAAAAAAAGUGGCACAGGCAACCAGUCUGUGUUCGAAAAUAACAAUACAACUGUAUUAGGAGGAUUUGGGGAGGAGACAUGGCAGUGAGUACAAAUCCUCCCCUGUCAAACAGAAGAUCAAGAAAUGGCUGUAUAAGUAUAAUAUUUCGAGGCAAAUAACAGAAGAUAAAACACACGUGGUUAAAAUAGUUCAGAUCUGAACAGACAUUCUUUUAUUUAUUUAAA